GUCGAGCGGAUGAAGGGAGCUUGCUCCCUGAUUCAGCGGCGGACGGGUGAGUAAUGCCUAGGAAUCUGCCUGGUAGUGGGGGACAACGUCUCGAAAGGGACGCUAAUACCGCAUACGUCCUACGGGAGAAAGCAGGGGACCUUCGGGCCUUGCGCUAUCAGAUGAGCCUAGGUCGGAUUAGCUAGUUGGUGAGGUAAUGGCUCACCAAGGCGACGAUCCGUAACUGGUCUGAGAGGAUGAUCAGUCACACUGGAACUGAGACACGGUCCAGACUCCUACGGGAGGCAGCAGUGGGGAAUAUUGGACAAUGGGCGAAAGCCUGAUCCAGCCAUGCCGCGUGUGUGAAGAAGGUCUUCGGAUUGUAAAGCACUUUAAGUUGGGAGGAAGGGCAGCUAAUUAAUACUUCGCUGUUUUGACGUUACCGACAGAAUAAGCACCGGCUAACUCUGUGCCAGCAGCCGCGGUAAUACAGAGGGUGCAAGCGUUAAUCGGAAUUACUGGGCGUAAAGCGCGCGUAGGUGGUUUGUUAAGUUGAAUGUGAAAUCCCCGGGCUCAACCUGGGAACUGCAUCCAAAACUGGCAAGCUAGAGUAGGGCAGAGGGUGGUGGAAUUUCCUGUGUAGCGGUGAAAUGCGUAGAUAUAGGAAGGAACACCAGUGGCGAAGGCGACCACCUGGGCUCAUACUGACACUGA
Molecule: ribosomal RNA, 693 nt
Filed under: Pseudomonas sp.
Lineage: Bacteria; Pseudomonadati; Pseudomonadota; Gammaproteobacteria; Pseudomonadales; Pseudomonadaceae
Description: bacterial SSU rRNA
Rfam family: Bacterial small subunit ribosomal RNA
Source: RNAcentral